GACUAUAGGACGGUGAGCCUCAUGCAUAGCAUUGCAAAGAUCAUGGGAAAGCUGUUGGCCUCACGGCUUGCUCCUGAGCUUGACGGGCUCAUUUCGAUGUCCCAAAGGGCAUUCAUUAAGAAGAGGUCGAUUCAAGACAAUUUCAUUUUUGUUAGGAAUGUCAUGAAAGAUGCUCAUUCAAAGAGGAAGCCUUUGCUGUUCUUGAAGCUUGAUUUCACCAAAGCGUUUGAUUCAGUAAGAUGGGAUUCCAUGCUUGAGGCUCUUAAUGCUUAUGGGUUCAGCGAUCGAUGGAGGAACCUCAUCUCACUGAUUCUGGGAUCCUCCUCCUCCCAUGUUCUUCUCAAUGGUUUGCAAGGAAGAUCUUCUGCUCACAAGAAAGGGUUGAGGCAGGGCGACCCCUUGGCCCCAAUGCUAUUCAUUUUGGCCCUUGAGCCCUUCCAAGAGAUGCUUUCCAUUGCUACACAACAGGGGUUGCUUUCUCUGGUCACUUGUAGUGCUGCUAGAAUGAGAGUGAGUUUCUAUGUUGAUGAUGCUGCCUUAUUUGUAAACCCAAUCAAGGAGGAGCUGGCCCUGCUCUCAGCCAUUCUUAAUUUCUUCGGGCUCACUUCCGGCCUAAGCAUCAACCUUAACAAAUGUGUCACUUUUCCAAUUAGCUGCGGAAACAUUAACCUUCAGGAUGUACUGCCAGAAUUCGAUGGACAAUAUGGACAGUUUCCCUGCCGAUACCUUGGGUUACUGGUUGGUCCACAAGUGCCAAAGAGAAUCGAGAUUCAGCCUAUCCUUGACCAGUUUGCUGCAACUGCAAGGCUAAAGCCUUGGAAGGGCAAGCUAAUGAAUAGAGCGGGAAGACUUGCCUUGCUUAACUCUGUUCUCACUCCUCUAACCACAUAUCUCUUUACGGCAUUCAUACCCUCCAAAUGGCUCAUCAAGAGGAUUGAUAAAAUUAUAAGAAGCUUCCUGUGGAGUGGCGAAGAGGAGGCUGCCGGAAGCAAAUGUUUGGUUAACUAG
Molecule: ribosomal RNA, 1008 nt
Filed under: Triticum aestivum (bread wheat)
Lineage: Eukaryota; Viridiplantae; Streptophyta; Magnoliopsida; Poales; Poaceae
Description: partial small subunit ribosomal RNA
Source: RNAcentral